AGAGAUGAGCAUAGGUUCCUCCCAAGAUGCCACCCGCUUCAUUCAAGUGUCUGGCAGCACUGUGUUCCUGUUAGAGCCACCAGCACAAGCACCAGACGAUGCUGAUCCAGGUGAAGGCCCCAGUGCAGCAGCAACAGCACAUGAUGGAGACGAUGAUGAGGAGGAGACCAUCUCUCUGGAUUCCAGAAGGCAUGAGGACCCAGAUGCUAUACAGUGGGAAAACCAGCCUGGCAACAAGCUCACAAGCUAUCAGAAAGUUGUAUGGCAACCACCUCCGGCGCCAAAUAGAACUGGCAGACAUAGACAUUCAGUACAAGAAGAAAAAGAUGGAAAAUCUUGCACUGGAGUUCGAAAUAAAAAAGAGGACAAUUAGGAAACUGGACCUUGAAAUAAAAAAACUUGAGAGGGAGCUCCAAGAAGAUGACACAGCUCAAAAUAAAAAUUAGCAAUCAGUACAACCAAGUCAUCGUUAUAAGGCAUCGCCCUCUUUUGCCCACCCCCCCAGCACCAGGUGUGGCCACUAGCCUAUAUGAAGGCCCAAAAUUGUGUGUUCCUUUCUGCUCUGACAAUGGCAUGCCCAUUUGUGCGAGAUGUGGUGGAUGAAGAAGCACUUGUGCUGAGGAGAGCCUUCAGGUGAGAAAGGGUCUUCAGGGACCAGUUGGACCCACUGGCCUUCCCUGAUGACCAUCUAUAUGAA
Molecule: long non-coding RNA, 697 nt
Organism: Oncorhynchus tshawytscha (Chinook salmon)
Lineage: Eukaryota; Metazoa; Chordata; Actinopteri; Salmoniformes; Salmonidae
Source: Ensembl